Long non-coding RNA from Homo sapiens (human), 2632 nucleotides. Ensembl annotates it as general transcription factor IIi pseudogene 1. Its record names the gene GTF2IP1. The record is from Ensembl. Lineage: Eukaryota; Metazoa; Chordata; Mammalia; Primates; Hominidae.
AGCGAACACCAGCUGCUCCCCGCGCCGGGCGCCGCGCGCCGCUGCUCCGCCGCUCGGCCCCUCGGCUGCUGCUCCGCCGGCGCUGCCUCCCUCGCCCCGCGGCUCCCCCUUGCAACUUGGCGGGCCUCCUCCCUUUUGUCCGGCCCGGCCCGGCCGCCGCCGCCCCCCGCGCCCGGCGCCGAGCUCCCGGGUCUCCGGGCCGGCUGUCGGUGCCGGCAGGGCGCGGAGGGGGCGGGGGCCGCGGCUCGUCCCCCCGCGGAUGAGCCGCCGCGGACGGGGCGCGGGCGGACGAUGGAACUCCACAUCCUGGAGCACCGGCUGCAAGUUGCCAGCGUCGCCAAGGAGAGUAUCCCGCUGUUCACCUACGGCCUGAUCAAACUUGCCUUCCUGUCCUCCAAGACCAGAUGAUGAUUAUUCUCCACCGUCUAAGAGACCAAAGGCCAAUGAGCUACCGCAGCCACCAGUCCCGGAACCCGCCAAUGCUGGGAAGCGGAAAGUGAGGGAGUUCAACUUCGAGAAAUGGAAUGCUCGCAUCACUGAUCUACGUAAACAAGUUGAAGAAUUGUUUGAAAGGAAAUAUGCUCAAGCCAUAAAAGCCAAAGGUCCGGUGACGAUCCCGUACCCUCUUUUCUAGUCUCAUGUUGAAGAUCUUUAUGUAGAAGGACUUCCUGAAGGAAUUCCUUUUAGAAGGCCAUCUACUUACGGAAUUCCUCGCCUGGAGAGGAUAUUACUUGCAAAGGAAAGGAUUCGUUUUGUGAUUAAGAAACAUGAGCUUCUGAGUUCAACACGUGAAGAUUUACAGCUUGAUAAGCCAGCUUCAGGAGUAAAGGAAGAAUGGUAUGCCAGAAUCACUAAAUUAAGAAAGAUGGUGGAUCAGCUUUUCUGCAAAAAAUUUGCGGAAGCCUUGGGGAGCACUGAAGCCAAGGCUGUACCGUACCAAAAAUUUGAGGCACACCCGAAUGAUCUGUACGUGGAAGGACUGCCAGAAAACAUUCCUUUCCGAAGUCCCUCAUGGUAUGGAAUCCCAAGGCUGGAAAAAAUCAUUCAAGUGGGCAAUCGAAUUAAAUUUGUUAUUAAAAGACCAGAACUUCUGACUCACAGUACCACUGAAGUUACUCAGCCAAGAACGAAUACACCAGUCAAAGAAGAUUGGAAUGUCAGAAUUACCAAGCUACGGAAGCAAGUGGAAGAGAUUUUUAAUUUGAAAUUUGCUCAAGCUCUUGGACUCACCGAGGCAGUAAAAGUACCAUAUCCUGUGUUUGAAUCAAACCCGGAGUUCUUGUAUGUGGAAGGCUUGCCAGAGGGGAUUCCCUUCCGAAGCCCUACCUGGUUUGGAAUUCCACGACUUGAAAGGAUCGUCCGCGGGAGUAAUAAAAUCAAGUUCGUUGUUAAAAAACCUGAACUAGUUAUUUCCUACUUGCCUCCUGGGAUGGCUAGUAAAAUAAACACUAAAGCUUUGCAGUCCCCCAAAAGACCACGAAGUCCUGGGAGUAAUUCAAAGGUUCCUGAAAUUGAGGUCACCGUGGAAGGCCCUAAUAACAACAAUCCUCAAACCUCAGCUGUUCGAACCCCGACCCAGACUAACGGUUCUAACGUUCCCUUCAAGCCACGAGGGAGAGAGUUUUCCUUUGAGGCCUGGAAUGCCAAAAUCACGGACCUAAAACAGAAAGUUGAAAAUCUCUUCAAUGAGAAAUGUGGGGAAGCUCUUGGCCUUAAACAAGCUGUGAAGGUGCCGUUCGCGUUAUUUGAGUCUUUCCCGGAAGACUUUUAUGUGGAAGGCUUACCUGAGGGUGUGCCAUUCCGAAGACCAUCGACUUUUGGCAUUCCGAGGCUGGAGAAGAUACUCAGAAACAAAGCCAAAAUUAAGUUCAUCAUUAAAAAGCCCGAAAUGUUUGAGACGGCGAUUAAGGAGAGCACCUCCUCUAAGAGCCCUCCCAGAAAAAUAAAUUCAUCACCCAAUGUUAAUACUACUGCAUCAGGUGUUGAAGACCUUAACAUCAUUCAGGUGACAAUUCCAGAUGAUGAUAAUGAAAGACUCUCGAAAGUUGAAAAAGCUGUCGCUAAGAGAACAAGUGAAUGACCUCUUUAGUCGGAAAUUUGGUGAAGCUAUUGGUAUGGGUUUUCCUGUGAAAGUUCCCUACAGGAAAAUCACAAUUAACCCUGGCUGUGUGGUGGUUGAUGGCAUGCCCCCGGGGGUGUCCUUCAAAGCCCCCAGCUACCUGGAAAUCAGCUCCAUGAGAAGGAUCUUAGACUCUGCCGAGUUUAUCAAAUUCACGGUCAUUAGACCAUUUCCAGGACUUGUGAUUAAUAACCAGCUGGUUGAUCAGAGUGAGUCAGAAGGCCCCGUGAUACAAGAAUCAGCUGAACCAAGCCAGUUGGAAGUUCCAGCCACAGAAGAAAUAAAAGAGACUGAUGGAAGCUCUCAGAUCAAGCAAGAACCAGACCCCACGUGGUAGACCUCUUCCCUCCUAGGGUAAAUCAGCUUCUGUGUCAGGGAUGCUGUGUGGCGUCCAUCUGAACCCCCUGCAUACGCGUAGCUAAUGUGAUCUCCCCACUUUCACAUAAGAUGGUGGCCCUGCCUUCAGGGAAUGUGGGAGCCAGGUGGGAGCCUUCCCGGAUAUUUAAGCUAGAA